AUUCGGGCUAGUUCCGAGGGUUAGUCGUCCUCGUCCACGUGAAACCGACUUCAUGCACGGAGCGAACGCCGGGACCGAAUCAUUUGCGAAGUAUGCGAUCGCCGUGUGCGUUUGCCGACCUUCUGUCCCGAAAGAUUUCGUAGGCAAUUGAACCCCGCCAGGCCCGGAAGGGAGCAACGGUGGAUUACUUAGGGGAUGCUUUCGGGGUAACGGAAGCGAGAACGCAUGCAGCAUUCAAUCGCAUGCCUUGCACGCGAGGGAACCGGAAGCCCAUGU
Molecule: signal recognition particle RNA, 276 nt
Rfam family: Archaeal signal recognition particle RNA